AGUAAUGUAUGGGGAUCUGCCUGAUGGCGGGGGAUAACUACUGGAAACGGUAGCUAAUACCGCAUAAUGUCUGCGGACCAAAGCGGGGGACCUCCGGGCCUCGCGCCAUCAGAUGAACCCAUAUGGGAUUAGCUUGUAGGUGGGGUAACGGCUCACCUAGGCGACGAUCCCUAGCUGGUCUGAGAGGAUGACCAGCCACACUGGAACUGAGACACGGUCCAG
RNAcentral lists this ribosomal RNA (222 nucleotides) under uncultured bacterium. RNAcentral's name for it is "partial 16S ribosomal RNA". It matches the Rfam family "Bacterial small subunit ribosomal RNA", at positions 109 to 334 of the family's 1533-position model. The record is from RNAcentral.